UUUGCAUAUUGUCCCCUAGGGAGGACCUUCCCUUGCCAGUCUGAGAUAAAAGAUCAACUCUCCACUUGUCUUUACCGACCAGGACUCAUCCCUUUCACUUGUCAGAAUGAGGUUCCCUGCUCAGCUCCUGGGGCUACUCAUGCUCUGGUUUCCAGGAUCCACUGGGGAUAUUGUGAUGACACAGACCCCAGUGUCCCUGCCCGUCACCCUUGGAGAGCCGGCCUCCAUCUCCUGCAAGGCCAGUCAGAGCCUCCUGCACAGUAAUGGAUAUAAUUACUUGUAUUGGUUCCGGCAGAAACCGGGCCAUUCUCCACAGCCCCUGAUCUAUGCAGCUUCUAACCGUUUCACUGGGGUCCCAGACAGGUUCAGUGGCAGUGGGUCAGGGACAGAUUUCACCCUCAAAAUCAGCAGGGUGGAGGCUGACGAUGUGGGAGUGUAUUACUGCGAGCAAGCUAUACAGUAUCCUCGCACAGUGGUUCAGGCCCGAACACAAACCUCCCCGCCUGGGGGUCCAGCUGCCCCAGUGAGGAGCUUCUCUGGGGACUCACAGGACACUCUCUGAGUCUGUGUCAGAGGA
This is a non-coding RNA of Ailuropoda melanoleuca (giant panda), 577 nucleotides long. Lineage: Eukaryota; Metazoa; Chordata; Mammalia; Carnivora; Ursidae. The record is from the annotation of a RefSeq genome assembly.